ACUAACUUCUGCUGAAAGGAAGGGCAGUGAAAAUAUGGAUUCCGAUGCGGCGGCGGCUAGGCAGGGAAGCGAUAAGGAUGGGUCGUCCGUUUUCCAACAUGGAGAGUCGGAGAGAUUGGGAAAAGGAAGAUGAAGAUGCUUGUUGAAUCCAUAAUAUUCGAAUCCAAUGUUCAUGCUAUGGGGGGAUCCUUGGACUACUUUUUAUUUGGGUUUCAUCACUAUCACUUUAAUCUUAAUGCUUCAUUUCAUUUGAUCUAGAAAAGUUUGUAUUUAUAUUUCUUUUAGUUGUGAAAAGAUAUAAAUUAUCAAUCUUUCUUAGCUUCAUAUAUUGGACAGAUUCAACCAGAGGGAUGCUACUAGAUUGGAAUAAGCGUUUCAGCAUGAUAGAAGGAAUCACUCGAGGAUUGCUUUAUUUGCACUAAUACUCAAGAGUGAGGGUAAUUCAUAGAGAUUUGAAAGCUAGUAUUAUUCUACUCCAUGAGAAUAUGAAACCCAAAACUUCUGAUUUUGGCAUGGCGCACAUUUUCACGCACAAUGAACUGGAGGCAAAUAGGGUUGUGGGAACAUAUGGUUACAUGUUACCUGAGUAGGAGUUUACAGUUUUUGGUGUGAUAAUUCUUGAAGUCAUAAGUGGCAGGAGAAACAACAGUUUCUACAAUGAGGAUCAAGUGCUAACUAUAGUAGGAUAUGCGUGGGAAUUGUGGAAGGAUGGUCGUGGGCUAGAAAUAAUGGAUCCCAAACUAUCUGAUUUAUGUAUGAAGGGUCAAUUGUUAAGCUGCAUCCAUGUCGGUCAGCUAUGCGUGGAAGAAAUGCAGUUGAUCGGCCCAGCUAUCUGAUGUCAUAUCUAUUUUGACAUAUGAAAGCAUGUCCCUACCUACACCAACAAAUUAAGCCAGCAUUUUGUAUAGGAAGAAAAGUUAUCAAGGCUGGUAUUGAUGCAAAGGGAUCAGAAAUUGUAUCUAUUAGUGACGUGGUAUGUCCAA
This is a long non-coding RNA of Rosa rugosa (rugosa rose), 983 nucleotides long. RefSeq lists it as uncharacterized. NCBI's taxonomy places the organism in Eukaryota, Viridiplantae, Streptophyta, Magnoliopsida, Rosales, Rosaceae. The record is from RefSeq and is a predicted model, not a curated record. The transcript has 3 exons.